CUUCAUCUGCACAGAGUGGAAACAACAAGAAGAGCAUCAAAAAAUGAGAGCGAUGUCUCUUUAGUUUGUUAUCAAUCACGCCCUGAGAAGAUUUCAUUUCCCGACAUAUUGCUGCUUCUUUAAUGAUUAACUCCUGUAAACACAGACUGAGAGCUCAACUGGACUGGAUCCAGGUUACCAUGGGACUCUGGCUUCACCAAAACAAGCACAAUCCAAUGAGGAGCUCUCUGAAGUACCAGACUUUCUCCUUCGGGACAUCUUUGGUGCCGCACACACUCUUCUAGCAGACUGUGGAGGAUCUGCGGUGCUCUGAUUGGCUACAGAUUCUGGUCCAGCCAGCGUAUGUAGUUGUCCAUGCUCCUCUGUCCGACGCCAGACAUCAUCGGCAGGAAAGCGAAAACCAUGCAGCCGUGAAAGCCAUCCUCGUAGUGAUCGUUGGUCACCGAGACGCCAGCGUCCUGCAGACGCCUCACGUACAUCAACCCGUCAUCUCUUAGAACGUCAAACUCACAGGUCAUCACGUACGCU
Non-coding RNA from Labrus bergylta (ballan wrasse), 528 nucleotides. Lineage: Eukaryota; Metazoa; Chordata; Actinopteri; Labriformes; Labridae. The record is from RefSeq and is a predicted model, not a curated record.